GGAGGAAAAGAAACUAACAAGGAUUCCCCUAGUAACGGCGAGUGAAGCGGGAAGAGCUCAAAUUUGAAAUCUGGUAGCCUUCGGUUGCCCGAGUUGUAAUCUAGAGAAGUGUUUUCCGUGCCGGCCCAUGUACAAGUCCCUUGGAACAGGGCGUCAUAGAGGGUGAGAAUCCCGUCCUUGACAUGGACCCCCGGUGCUUUGUGAUACACUUUCAACGAGUCGAGUUGUUUGGGAAUGCAGCUCAAAAUGGGUGGUGAAUUCCAUCUAAAGCUAAAUAUUGGCGAGAGACCGAUAGCGAACAAGUACCGUGAGGGAAAGAUGAAAAGCACUUUGGAAAGAGAGUUAAACAGUACGUGAAAUUGUUGAAAGGGAAACGAUUGAAGUCAGUCAUGCUCUUGGGACUUACCUCCCUUGAGUGGGGUCAACAUCAGUUUUGAUCGAUGGAUAAAGGCACGGGGAAGGUAGCACUCUCGGGUGAACUUAUAGCCUCGCGUCAUAUACAUUGAUUGGGACUGAGGAACGCAGCAUGC
RNAcentral lists this ribosomal RNA (530 nucleotides) under Naganishia albida. Its description in RNAcentral is "eukaryotic LSU rRNA". It matches the Rfam family "Eukaryotic large subunit ribosomal RNA", at positions 52 to 604 of the family's 3401-position model. The record is from RNAcentral. Lineage: Eukaryota; Fungi; Basidiomycota; Tremellomycetes; Filobasidiales; Filobasidiaceae.